ACGAACGCUGGCGGCGUGCCUAAUACAUGCAAGUCGAACGCAUUUUCUUUCACCGUAGCUUGCUACACCGAAAGAAAAUGAGUGGCGAACGGGUGAGUAACACGUGGGUAACCUGCCCAUCAGCGGGGGAUAACACUUGGAAACAGGUGCUAAUACCGCAUAAUUCCAUUUACCGCAUGGUAGAUGGAUGAAAGGCGCUUUUGCGUCACUGAUGGAUGGACCCGCGGUGCAUUAGCUAGUUGGUGGGGUAACGGCCUACCAAGGCUGCGAUGCAUAGCCGACCUGAGAGGGUGAUCGGCCACACUGGGACUGAGACACGGCCCAGACUCCUACGGGAGGCAGCAGUAGGGAAUCUUCGGCAAUGGACACAAGUCUGACCGAGCAACGCCGCGUGAGUGAAGAAGGUUUUCGGAUCGUAAAACUCUGUUGUUAGAGAAGAACAAGGAUGAGAGUGGAAAGUUCAUCCCUUGACGGUAUCUAACCAGAAAGCCACGGCUAACUACGUG
This 506-nucleotide ribosomal RNA is filed under the name uncultured bacterium. RNAcentral describes it as "partial 16S ribosomal RNA". It matches the Rfam family "Bacterial small subunit ribosomal RNA", at positions 29 to 507 of the family's 1533-position model. The record is from RNAcentral.